UACGAAGGGGGGCUAGCGUUGUUCGGAUUUACUGGGCGUAAAGCGCACGUAGGCGGAUCGUUAAGUCGGGGGUGAAAUCCUGGAGCUCAACUCCAGAACUGCCUUCGAUACUGGCGAUCUUGAGUCCGGAAGAGGUGAGUGGAACUCCUAGUGUAGAGGUGGAAUUCGUAGAUAUUAGGAAGAACACCAGUGGCGAAGGCGGCUCACUGGGUCCGGGUACUGACGCCUGAGG
Molecule: ribosomal RNA, 232 nt
Filed under: uncultured bacterium
Lineage: Bacteria
Description: partial 16S ribosomal RNA
Rfam family: Bacterial small subunit ribosomal RNA
Source: RNAcentral